Molecule: long non-coding RNA, 447 nt
Organism: Nycticebus coucang (slow loris)
Lineage: Eukaryota; Metazoa; Chordata; Mammalia; Primates; Lorisidae
Exons: 2
Source: RefSeq, a predicted model, not a curated record
AGGUGCACCAGCGGUGCCCCAUGUAGGACACACAUCCUUACUCGCAGACGUGAUGAAGUGAAGGAUCAGACCCUGCCUGAUGAAGUACGGAACGCCUGGGUUACCAACCCAACUGUAGGUAAUGGCUGUGUGCCCAGGGCAGGUGCUGCCACCGGCCUCAUUACCAGUAUAUCUCUCCAUGGUACAAAAGUAUUACAUAGAACAGAUCAUAUUCUGGAAAAAGAUGGGGGAAAGUUAGUACACAACACACAUCACAGAAACUAAAUCACAAAUUUGUCUCUGUACUUUCCAAAGAGAUGUGAUCACACUCACUUUGCAAAGUAAGAAUCACCAUUACUCAAAAGAAGCAAAAAUGUUCCCAGCUUAGAGAUCAUAGAACUUUCUUUCAUGGGCCUUGGGUAGUGAAUCUGUGAAAUGUAAUAAACAAUGUCCUUCUUAAUAAAAAAU